This 252-nucleotide long non-coding RNA is filed under the name Gossypium barbadense (sea-island cotton). RNAcentral's name for it is "long non-coding RNA (GBAR_LNC011477)". The record is from RNAcentral. Lineage: Eukaryota; Viridiplantae; Streptophyta; Magnoliopsida; Malvales; Malvaceae.
GUAUUGAGACGAGCUAGUGUAAGGCAUGUCUGGGACAUGCAUCAGCCUCGAGAUAUACAAGCUAGUGUAAGACCUGUUUGGGACAUGGCGUCAACUUGUUGUGUGUCAGUGUAAGACCUGUCUAGGAGAUGGCAUCGACACUGAUGGAUAAGAGCUAGUGUAAGACUUGUCUAGGACAUGGCAUCGGCCUCGAUAUAUGAAAGUUAGUGUAAGACCUGUCUAGGACAUGGCAUCGACUUUGAUGUGUUAGCC